GUAGGUGGCAAGCGUUGUCCGGAAUUAUUGGGCGUAAAGCGCGCGCAGGCGGUUCUUUAAGUCUGAUGUGAAAGCCCACGGCUCAACCGUGGAGGGUCAUUGGAAACUGGAGAACUUGAGUACAGAAGAGGAAAGCGGAAUUCCACGUGUAGCGGUGAAAUGCGUAGAGAUGUGGAGGAACCCCAGUGGCGAAGGCGGCUUUCUGGUCUGUAACUGACGCUGAGGCGCGAGAGCGUGGGGGAGCAAACAGGAUUAGAUACCCUGGUAGUCCACGCCGUAAACGAUGAGUGCUAAGUGUUAGGGGGUUUCCGCCCCUUAGUGCUGCAGCUAACGCAUUAAGCACUCCGCCUGGGAGUACGGCCGCAAGGCUG
This 371-nucleotide ribosomal RNA is filed under the name uncultured organism. Its description in RNAcentral is "partial 16S ribosomal RNA". It matches the Rfam family "Bacterial small subunit ribosomal RNA", at positions 527 to 896 of the family's 1533-position model. The record is from RNAcentral.